CCAGAGAUGGCGGGCCACCGCGCCCCCGUCCCCAACCCUUUGUCGAUGAAAAACCUUUUGCCUCGGGGGCAGAGCGGCCCUCGCGUCGCCGCCCCCGGAGGACCACCAAACUCUGUCUCUAUACGUCGGAGUCUUUGAUGAAUCAAUCA
Molecule: unclassified non-coding RNA, 149 nt
Filed under: uncultured Devriesia
Lineage: Eukaryota; Fungi; Ascomycota; Dothideomycetes; Mycosphaerellales; Teratosphaeriaceae
Description: sequence contains ITS1
Source: RNAcentral